CGCAAAAUCAAACUUUAUCAACUACAGGGCGCAAGUAAUGCCUAAUCUGUUUGAGAUGCUCUGUGCCAGGAUCGAGGCUAGCUGAGGCGGCAAAGUAGCCUUGUCCCUGAAUUUAAGCUAGUGUGCAGGCCGUGUCCGAGCCCAGCUCAGCUGAUCAGCGUGACCUCGGAGGAGCUGCUUGCCAUCUUCACCAGUGUGCUGGGGCGCUCGCCCUUUCUCCUUGUUGUUUCCCAUCACGACGUGGCCGGAAUGAGAGUAGCGCCUUCUCCGCCUCCAGGAUGUAAUCUGAGGGGGCUGACUGAGGUCUCUGGGGGGCUUGUUUGGGCCGGAACAUCCGAAACGGCUCACCCAGGUGGCAGGCGGCCCAGAGCGAUUCAUUGGAACAACUCGCUUCUCCCCACGUGCCCUGAGUUUGGCUCGGGCUUCUCCCAGCAUGGCAGCUGGCUUCCAAGAGGAAGCCUCCCAGAGCAAGUCGUCUACAAGGAAGGAAAUGGAAGUUGCCAAGCCUCCUAACCCUGGGCUGGGAAAUCCUAGAAUGCCGCUUCUGGUCAAAACCAGUCAGGGGUCAGUCCAGGUUCAAAGGGAAGGGAAACAGCCCUCCCUUUGGAGGGGAAGAGCCGCCUGCGCAUAUACAGAGGGCGAGUAUUGUUUGGGAUCGCCUUGGGAAACUAGCUCCCGCCACAGAGUAGAGCGCCUGGCCUCACCUGGGUAGGUGCACCGUCAGGGGAGGGUCACCACAUCUUAGCACAUCGGCCCCUCUUGCAAGGCUGGCCCUCCUUCCUAGUGGACCACCCGCUCUGUGGUCCUGGCAGUGAGAACGGCUGAAACUAAGCAGGAGCUGGGAAUUAGGGCCGUGAAGAAAUGCAGAAACAAGGGAAGUGCAGUUAAACGGGAAGAGAAAUGACUUUCAUUCAGGGGUCAGCGUCCUUGCUCCUCCUCAAGGGAUAUACGUGAUAGUACAUCAUCGGACGCGGAUCUCCGAGUUGUUCUGCAGGAACUGAGACUCCCCCACCCAGGGGGAUGGUGAACCCUAGCAGGCAGACCCCGCACCCGACGGAGGAGGACGAUUCCUGAAACAUCACCCUGUUACUUCAUCACCAAGCAAUCAGAAGAACGUCGUGCACCCUGCAGCCCUCCCCCUAAAGGCUGCUUUGAAAAACCUUUCCCUGAAUGCCCUCGGGGCGUUCAGGUUUUUUGAGCUUGAGCCACCCGUACCCCAUGCUUGGCGCCCUGCAAAUAAACACCCUACGUUCCUUCAUCACAACCCCCUCUCAGUCAAUUGGCUUUGCGGCACGCUGGCAAGCCGACCAAGUUCAGUUCGGUAAAACUUCCCUUAAACAUUUGAUAAACUGCUGUUGAAGUCCUUCUUCAGAGUCGUCUUGUCUGUGUAACUGCACCAGUCACGUUUUCCCAUCCGCUCUGGCAAGGAAGGUCUCUAGUAUCAGCCCUGGUCCCCCUUCCUUUUCUUGCUCUAGACUAAGACCCAAAUAAACUCUUGGUAACUCUCUG
Molecule: long non-coding RNA, 1509 nt
Organism: Phacochoerus africanus (Common warthog)
Lineage: Eukaryota; Metazoa; Chordata; Mammalia; Artiodactyla; Suidae
Exons: 3
Source: RefSeq, a predicted model, not a curated record